CUUGCCUGCUUUAGUUAUGAUUUAAUUUAUAUUGAAGAUUUUACUACAAGUAUCACAUAAAAUAAUGUUCUAUGUUCUACAAAAAUGAGGUCAUGAACAUAUGAACUAGGCCUGACAGACAUGUAGAUCUGACAAUCAUUCCAUACACCAAAUAUAGGAGGGUAGUAAUGCCUGUUACUGUCAGCUGUCAAACAGUCAUUUUCACCUAUCGUGAGCGUUAAAUUGGUUAGAUUUUUACCAUGAUUGGUAAUAAUAUUCUUCAGAGGUCUCAAAUAUUUAUCAUUAGCAUCUUUUUUGGGUAAUG
Molecule: long non-coding RNA, 304 nt
Filed under: Mytilus galloprovincialis (Mediterranean mussel)
Lineage: Eukaryota; Metazoa; Mollusca; Bivalvia; Mytilida; Mytilidae
Source: RNAcentral